This 124-nucleotide ribosomal RNA is filed under the name Blastodinium inornatum. RNAcentral's name for it is "partial 18S ribosomal RNA". It matches the Rfam family "Eukaryotic small subunit ribosomal RNA", at positions 1706 to 1831 of the family's 1831-position model. Lineage: Eukaryota; Dinophyceae; Blastodiniales. The record is from RNAcentral.
CGUAUCAGACUGCGGUAGUGUUCGAUUUUGAAUACUGCUGUGGAAAGUUUAGUGAACCUUAUCACUUAGAGGAAGGAGAAGUCGUAACAAGGUUUCCGUAGGUGAACCUGCGGAAGGAUCAUUC